Molecule: non-coding RNA, 1842 nt
Organism: Paramormyrops kingsleyae
Lineage: Eukaryota; Metazoa; Chordata; Actinopteri; Osteoglossiformes; Mormyridae
Source: RefSeq, a predicted model, not a curated record
UACAGAUUGAUGACGACACUGUGGAGGAAAUCAGGAAAUUAAUACAGAAAGAAGUAUUAAGAGUAUUUGAAGAGCUGUGGUCCAGUCAGGCCCCUCAGACAAAGACCCCAGCUGCCAUCCUCGCGGCACAGGUCCGUCACGGGACGCCAGGGCCCCCGGGGCCCCCAGGCCUCCCCGGCAAUGAUGGCUUCCCGGGGCCCCCAGGACAACCUGGCUCCCCAGGUAGGCCGACAGCCUAAACCCCGGUGCUGUGCCCCCCCUCUGUGGCCCUGCUCCCUAACAGAGUGACCUCCCCCCCAACCCCAAAAGGAGCUGAGUUUGCAUCUAACCCCAGCGUGUCACCCUCUGGCUCAGAGCCGGCCGCUGUCUGGCGGUGUCGCGCAGCUGCCAGGCCCCUGCCUUUAAACGGCCACAGGAAGCCAGGGUCUCUCUCGCUGUGGGCUGGGAAAGGAGCUCCCCUGAAUUCACCAAUAGGGGGCGCUGAGUGCUCUGAAGGAGAUGGAUAGUCACAGCAGCAUCCUUAUUGACGCUCCUCCCUCCUCCCACCCUGAAAUGAGUACAUGAGGGUUUAGUUAUCAAAAAGCUUGGCAGGAACGGACCUGAGGAACACGCCCCCCACAGGAUCGCCGGACCGUGGGGGGAGGGGUCUUAUUCUCCCAUGGGGGUGACAGUAAGACACAGCAGCCCUGCAUCGCACUCCUGCAUGGACUAGCCACUCUGCCCGACCCGAAGAGGACUCAAUCCAGAUCGGCGUCACCCCUGUGGGGGGGGACCCAUACCAUCACAGGAUUUCCCUCUGAAAACCAUUAGCGUGUUUAGUGUGUUUUAUAACUAUGUAACAAAUUAAAGUGUCUUGUGUUGUAGCGCACAAACAGCUACCUCAGGAUAGUCAGUGUGGGUUCUGCCUUCCCUGACAGCACACUGUAACUGCGCCAUUGCAUGAAGCACAGGGCACUCCUGGUUUUCGCCUGGUUACACAGGCGUGCAUAACCUGACGCCAGAGAUGUACCUGUGACAGCGGCACGUCUGUCAUUACUGUCAGAACUGAAAUUCACCGCCUGCAGCGUCACAGAGCUGAUGUGUAUGUUUGUGUUCGUCCGACAAUAACUGUCUACUGCCCUUUGGAAAAUGGGAAAACAAAAAAGUAAUAAAGCGUAGCUGCUGUCCCAGGUUUACCCCCCCCCUUUUUAUCACACCAGCCCUCCUUUCUGAGAAUCCUCACCACCCCCAAAGGAAGCUUCCGAAUGUCUGCUGAAGGAUGCCCUGCGGAGCCUUCUCUCUGCAGCUCCACAUUUCCUCUCCAUAUACAUUUCUGUAUUGUUAUUUUAUCAUUUUGCUUCAUCGGCCCGCUGUGCUGCUGAGUUUACACGCUGGUGGGGCACAGCAGCAGAUAACUCCGGGAAGGUGACCGGCUUGCUUACCAUCUCGUAAGCCUCCCCUGCAUCUCACAUUCCUCUGUUUAAUGUUCUUCUCUGAGAUUGUUGCUCUGUUCCAGGAAAUCGUCGUGUUUGUGAGGCUGACCUGACACUUGCAGGCACUCGGUCUUUCUGUUUAUUCCCUGUAGAUUAUGUUUUUUUUAGUGAUGAAAUGUUUUUGUUUGGAAACGUGCAUCGUCAUGUGAUUUCUACAUACAUAAAUGUAUUUGCAUGUGUAAGCUAAAGGAACGGGAUUCAUGUUUGUAACAUACAUGUGAAGCCCACAACUUGGAGCUGCUUUUGUGGCGUGACGGAUCUAUGAGAAACUGCUUUUUGAAUAUCAUUCUGUUAUGAAGGUAUUAAAGUUGUAUAUGUUAAUAAACCACAACUGUCCUCCUUUUAGGGGACUUUUAAUGUGAUACAUGAA